This 406-nucleotide ribosomal RNA is filed under the name uncultured bacterium. RNAcentral describes it as "partial 16S ribosomal RNA". It matches the Rfam family "Bacterial small subunit ribosomal RNA", at positions 29 to 526 of the family's 1533-position model. The record is from RNAcentral.
AUUGAACGCUGGCGGCAGGCCUAACACAUGCAAGUCGAACGAGUGGCGGACGGGUGAGUAAUGUCUGGGAAACUGCCUGAUGGAGGGGGAUAACUACUGGAAACGGUAGCUAAUACCGCAUACCAUCGGAUGUGCCCAGAUGGGAUUAGCUAGUGGGGGGGGAAAAGGCCCACCUAGGCGACGAUCCCUAGCUGGUCUGAGAGGAUGACCGGCAAACUGGGAACGAAGACACGGUCCAGACUCCGACGGGAGGCAGCAGUGGGGAAUAUUGCACAAUGGGCGCAAUCCUGAUGCAGCCAUGCCGCGUGUAUGAAGAAGGCCUUCGGGUUGUAAAGUACGUUCAGCGGGGAGGCGUUACCCGCAGAAGAAGCACCGGCUAACUCCGUGCCAGCAGCCGCGGUAAUUC